This is a long non-coding RNA of Bolinopsis microptera, 164 nucleotides long. RefSeq lists it as uncharacterized. The transcript is spliced from 2 exons. The record is from RefSeq and is a predicted model, not a curated record. Lineage: Eukaryota; Metazoa; Ctenophora; Tentaculata; Lobata; Bolinopsidae.
AUCAAACUUGUGUUAUCUCUCUGUCUGCUGAAUUUAGUGGCAGCUAGAACCCUGGAACAGGAGGCUGAGCAAACCAUCGGCUGGGGAGUGGAGCUAUCAGAAGAGCAAAGUUUUAGUUUUGAUAACGUGGACAAGACAAUGAAUCUGAGAGAAGAAGAGGAGGA